RNAcentral lists this ribosomal RNA (413 nucleotides) under uncultured Glomeraceae. RNAcentral's name for it is "partial 28S ribosomal RNA". Lineage: Eukaryota; Fungi; Glomeromycota; Glomeromycetes; Glomerales; Glomeraceae. The record is from RNAcentral.
GAGAGUUAAACAGUACGUGAAAUUGUUGAAAGGGAAACGAUUGAAGCCAGUCGUACCUGCGGACAAUCAGCUUUUUGAGUGUGAUUAUGUGGAUUGUGAGGAGUUUAAUCACCCUCAUGUUUUACGUAUUCGUGCUCUUGGGUGUACUUGCCCGUGUGGUAGGUUAACAUCAAUUUUGGUCGUCAUAAAAUGACUGGAGGAAUGUAGCUUUGGUCUCGUAUCGAAGUGUUAUAGACCCUGGUAGAUGUGACGAUUGGGAUUGAGGAUUGCAACGGAUACCCUUCGGGGCUACUCGUCUGAUCUCUGAAGGUUGCUCCGGUGCCGAAAGCGUGCUUACGGUCAUCGAAAGUGAUUUUCAAAAGGUUAGAACGGGUUAAAUUCGUUAAGGAUGUUGACGUAAUGGCUUUAAACGA